ACACAACAUAUGCUGGUCUUGCUGGUAUGCUGUUUUUUUCAGCAGGGUAAGCACGAAAGCCUGUUACUGUAAAGUUAUUCGAUGGUUGAGAUAACUGCAGAUACAUUUGCCAGAUGUACAUGAUUAAUUAAAUAAUAUUUAUGCAUACUACACGUAAAUAACAUUGCAUUUUAUCUGUAAAACUGUAAAAUAUAGUAAUAUAUUUCCUAAAUCAUAUGUGGUUUUCCUGUGCAACCAGUAAGGGGGACGUUGAGGUACUGAAAUUCCCGUGUAAAUCCAUUCUACACCAUGUGUGUAAUGAGCAUGAGUGUACAGAUGAUGACGGAGGACAUCCUGUGGCAUUUCAUGACCUGUCAUCGCUGGUCCUUGAUAAAAGGCUUCUGAGAGACAUGGAAAAGAUGGCCCUGUUCAAACAUACUGGGCCGCUGGAAGUCUUUCACAGCGCACUUUUGAAAUACCUCCCCAAUGUUAGUUCCUGCACUACAAUGGUACCACACUGCCCAUAGCUGUACAUAUCUUAUUUAUAUGGUUCUUGCUGAAUAUGAAUAUUUAUUGUGUUUUUCUUAUAAUAUAUUCUGUUUAUACACUGCAUAAAUCAAUAUUAUUUAUACUACUAUU
Molecule: non-coding RNA, 618 nt
Organism: Paramisgurnus dabryanus
Lineage: Eukaryota; Metazoa; Chordata; Actinopteri; Cypriniformes; Cobitidae
Source: RefSeq, a predicted model, not a curated record